CGUGAGGUUGUGAUUUGUGGUUGCGAAAAGAGAGAGAAGUGAGGAGGGAGCGAAGAGGUAGAGGCGGAGGGAGGGAGGGAGGGAGAGGGAGGAGCGUGGUUUUAAGGAGAAAAAUAAAGUGGAGUGUGGUUAGGAAUGGCAGGAAACGGGAGCGCACGAGAGGAUGUUGGGUUAGGCCCGACGACCAGGAACCUACCUGAGCCCAGAGCUGAUCGAUAUCCGGGACGAGCCGCGGCUCCCGCGCGCUGUGAGUGAGGAUCCCAAGAACCGGGCCCCGAAGAGGUUACCACGUGGCGGCGAAGAGGACCGGGAAGCCGCCGGUCGCGCGGAGGAAGACACCGUCGAAGUGGCCGACCUCCCUCACGGGGUACCCCGAGCAACCCUGACUCAAGGUCCACCACAAGCUAGAGGGUGGUCCCGAAAUAGUCUGCCCGCGUACCUGCCGUUACGUAGAUUCCAAACAACGUCAUCAACUCAACACCACCUACCGGUAGCUUCCACGACCGAGUUACAUAACAUAAGCUCGUACUUACUUGCCUACUUGUUCACUUCAUGAGGGAGGUAGGCUUUUAUGAACAGUAGUUUUACUUAUUUUCCCCUACAUAGAUCUACAUAAAAUCAAGAUCUAUGUAGAAAAAAACAGGUAAAACUACUGUUCAUAAAAGCCUGCCUCCCUCAUGCAUCAAUAGUAACUGUGUGUUCACUCUUACAUCGGCCAAGAACCCAGCUCGAUAAAAUACACGUGUUCGACAUAGGUAAAACGUUCAUCACACCGUCCGUCUCUCGAAAGUAUGUCUAAAUGUCAAUCACUCGAAUCGACCACUAGACUGUAAUUAACGUGCGUCACUAAUUUUAGACGUAUACCUACUGCUCACCACCAAAUGACUACAGUCUAUGAAAAAUUGACAAUGCGAAGAUACACUGGGAAAACGACGAAAUCUACUGACAGAACGUCACACCGUCCGUCAUCGGCAUACUUUUGAGACCAAUCUGUAUCCUAGUGUUCCUGAUCCAGACCUUAGUACAUUUUAACCGCAUGUCACUAAAACAAAACAAAACUCCUUACGGAUUGUAUUAACUACAGAACAAACUAUUGUAUACGAUGACUUCAAGAUACUAACAUCCGGGACACGUGAUCGUCUAUUUGGUCCAUACCAGCAUUAUUUACUGUAGAAUCUAAAUCACGGUCUAUGUACGGUAUAAAAAUACAGCUUUGCUAUCAUCGAUUGUUGAAGACUAUCAUGGUGGUGAGCAACAUCUCGUACGACGGUUUUUUCGCCCUUUAGUUUUCAACUGGACAAUGUAAAUGAUAAACCUCAAACUCCCCUUUCUGACAAUAAAGUCGACGUGGUAACUGUAAGGAUCAAAACGUGAAACUGGACAUGUUUUAACAUUCCUGAGUUGAAUGGGUAAAAGUACCAAACUUCAGAAUGUACAAAGUUUCGGUAUCUGUACGCGUAGAUAGAUCACUUGAAUUAUCCAUCCCUCAAUAAUUAGAAAUUACGAUUUUUUGUUUAGUCCUGUUCUUCGACGACAAGGUACAGAGGUAUUGAGGUCUGUUCUUCAACUUCUACAAUACAUUGCCCGAAUUGCCGACGAGAUCUAAACUCAUAUGUUGUAGUUACGGACAUUACGGCAAACAUUAAACGUCAUACAACACUGGUCCAAAGGAAAAAACGGUAAAUAAGGUAGAAAAGAACCCAAUAAUGAUUCGGAGAAAAGACGACCUUCGAUAAUUAUGAACUUAACAUGGUUUAAACAGACUAAACGGUACGUAACUAUAGGGAAAUGGAACAAUGAAUCGUUAGGUAUUCUAGAAAGUUUUAAUAACGGAUUAAUUAAUAUUGGUACCUUAGAACGCGUAUGAGUUAUAACCCAAAACAUAAAACCGACAAAGCGAAGUUCUAAAUCGUGGAAGAUAAAGACGUUUACGUCGGUUCGUACUGAUAUUAAUAUUUCGGGAAACGACGAUAAGAAAAUGUUGAGUGAGAGAUACAUUAACAUCCUUUGUAACGCAAAUACGUCGUUUAAGUGAGUGAACAAUAACUUGUAAGAUGGUAAAUAUAGGGAUAUUUCUACAGUUGAACACCACCGCCAGACCGGUGGAAACCCGAUACGGUGGAUUACCUAGACCGUCUUCGUCUAUAUCAAGCAGCCUAGACAGGGUCUAAACAAAUUUAGACAUCGUUAUACCCGUAACACGAUCACUGCAAGGGUUACACCAAGAAAUAUCAAGGCAAGAAUCCAAUCCUUCGUUGAGUUUGUACUAGAACGCGACCAUUAAAAAAAACGUCUAUCAUAUAAGGAAGAUACGAAAGACAUGGUCACGGGGUGAUGAAAGCAUGUUAUAAGAGGUCGAAGACACAAAAUAAUUACGUAUACGUAUGUAUCUACACCAGAAAACCAAGUUAAGUCAUGGCGAAAAACCACCUACCACAGACCUCUACACUACUGUGUUUUGGACAACAUGCACUACUUAUACCGGACUAGUCGUUACUUUACGAACAGUGUGAACACCUCUUAUUAUGUGUGGGCCGACAUGUCGAUCUCGUUAGUGGGCAAUCUUCUUACUUAAACCUACUCCCAUGAUAGAACUGUUGUUACGGUGGUCUUGGUGGUAGAGCUUUGAGCCCGUACGUCUAACGUCAAAAGGCGGUAGCCCAGAGACUUUAUGAUAAUGUAUUAUGGUAUAUACUACAACAAGGACAAAGAUCGUUCUAUCGCUAAAACCUACGAGCCGAAGGACAGUUUGUUCGUAAAUUAUAAUACGUACUACUCCCGGAACGAAACCAAGGAGAAACCCUACUACCGGUUCCUUGGCAUUGUCCGUACGAUUGACGAAGACUAAAACAUAAUUAAAACUCUUUCAACGUCUCCUUGUAAGCUCAAGACCCGGUACUUCUCGAACUUUACGUAAGUCAAAGACGAACCUUUCUUCGUUUUGACGUCAUAAUACCUCCCCGACUACAGCGUCCGUACGUUUCUUCCGGUAAUCAAGUACAAUUCCUAAGCCUAUUAAAUUCCCUACACCGUGACUGAUAUUAUGUUUUACUUUAUAGAAGUCAGGGAUAGAAAUUCAGGAGUUGCCUAUAUAGUCCCUAUGGCAAUGAAUUAGAACGUUGAGAAGGUCCCUAAAACUUUAAAGAAACGAGUUUCGAGGUUCUUGUUGGUCUUCCAAUAGGGUAAAACGCCUUAGUCUAAAGGUCAUAAGGAUAACCAUGUACCAGCGUCGUAUGACCUUCCCGUUCAUGAUCUGUCGAAUCUUGUAGCCCCGACUCACGAGGAGAUUAAUGAACGGACCUAAAAGAAGACCUUCUAUCUUAUUCGAGUUAAGGAUAUCAACGACUAUUACCUAGGGAACAACUACAGAUGAGUGAGUCACUAUAGUACCGAGACCGCUUCUUACUACAAAUGCGAACGUAACUUGAACUCGUUAACUGGCACCUCUUACGAAACCUCGACGUUAUAGUCCACUUACCCGCCUCUGUCACAGUAUGGACAAACUCGUGCUCAUGCAACGAGCUCCACAACCUAGUUAACAGACAAGGUCCCCACGCCGCCGAACAGCAAUAACUUGGCUACUGAUCUAAACACGUUCCUUAAUAGAGUAACUCUCUGCGUUAUUGUAAAGAGGAACCUAUUGUAAACACAUCGGUAAAGUAUGUACUUUCGGACAACAUAAACUAACCCUGUUUUAUUUUUACAACAAAACCGUCUACGUCCUCAACAAGUAUAGAAGGUAACACAAAAGUGAAACUUUGAAUGUUAUAGUCCUUAAUACGUGUCGGCUCGGAAGAACCGUUCUUGUCUGGUACGGAACCUUCGUACUUCUGACCUGACUGACUUAGUCAAGACGGCGUUGGAAAGGGACGAAACGACUAGCCUUACGAAGUUGCAUGACAACUCCGAACCGAUGACAUUUCUUCCCCCUGUUCGAGUCUAACUCUAAAUUCUCGAUGUAUUAGUAAAACUUCUAAACUACCUUUAGUACCCCGUCCAACGUAACAAGUCAUUACUGGAUAUACAAGAGUACCGUACCAUACUAAAGAGUACCGUACCUAUAUCUAAGUUUUUAGACACUUUAGUUAGUUGCACACACACAAAAAGCCAGUAACUCUUAAGUACUAAGAGUUGUCAGCGAUUGGAUAACGUUAGAACGACUGUUGUCAUUCUUGGUUCAAUACAAAGCGAGAUUACCACACAUCUAGUCAAAUACACGACGAAUAAAACUUUUCCUUAUCUCCAGCACUAACCACGUUACCCGAUGUUGCUUCUGGACUCUGGAUUCUUCUUCAAACGUUUCUU
This 4305-nucleotide ribosomal RNA is filed under the name Triticum aestivum (bread wheat). RNAcentral's name for it is "partial small subunit ribosomal RNA". The record is from RNAcentral. Lineage: Eukaryota; Viridiplantae; Streptophyta; Magnoliopsida; Poales; Poaceae.